CUUGAGACUGAUUACUACCUUCACAUGAAAAAAGAUGAUAGUUUGCCUGAAACACUGGUGUUGGCCAAUACGAGUUGGUGGCAAGUUGCCUUGAACCAAUAUCACUCGAGAAUCUU
RNAcentral lists this non-coding RNA (116 nucleotides) under uncultured Vexilliferidae. The record is from RNAcentral. Lineage: Eukaryota; Discosea; Flabellinia; Dactylopodida; Vexilliferidae.